This 253-nucleotide ribosomal RNA is filed under the name uncultured bacterium. RNAcentral describes it as "partial 16S ribosomal RNA". It matches the Rfam family "Bacterial small subunit ribosomal RNA", at positions 524 to 776 of the family's 1533-position model. The record is from RNAcentral.
UACGUAGGGUGCGAGCGUUAAUCGGAAUUACUGGGCGUAAAGCGUGCGCAGGCGGUUCGUUAAGUUCGAUGUGAAAGCCCCGGGCCCAACCUGGGAACUGCAUUGGAAACUGGCGAGCUUGAAUGCGGCAGAGGGGGGUGGAAUUCCGCGUGUAGCAGUGAAAUGCGUAGAGAUGCGGGGGAACACCGAUGGCGAAGGCAGCCCCCUGGGCCGACAUUGACGCUCAGGCACGAAAGCGUGGGGAGCAAACAGG